This 1607-nucleotide unclassified non-coding RNA is filed under the name Leishmania donovani. Its description in RNAcentral is "gene:LdHU3.28.0990(CDS-product:hypothetical_prote in_conserved)". The record is from RNAcentral. Lineage: Eukaryota; Euglenozoa; Kinetoplastea; Trypanosomatida; Trypanosomatidae.
GUUUUGUUUGUGUUCUAUCGCAACGCAUCUUUUUCAGGUGGCUAGUCAAAGGAUGGCGUUAUCACCAGAGAGCCCCGACUUGAACAUCGAGGAGCCCGCAAUUCUGGCCUACCAUAAGCAGGCUGACUUCGCAGCGUUUUUGGUCAACGAGUAUUUUAUCAAACCUAGCAAGCAGCUAGAGGAGGCGAGGCAGGAUGACACAAACGGACUGCUGCCACUUGUAUCGCUUGACUGUCUGCUGCCAAGCGGCGAUAUUGAUAAGAUAGUCGGGCACAUUUGCGAGGAGACGCACUUGAUAGACGAAAGGCAUGUUCAGCAACGGAAGCCAUUUCGCAUUCUGGAAAAGCCUUUACUCAUUCCGGCGAUGCUGGCAGCCUUGCUGCAUCGUAUUCUUUUUGAAAAGGCCGGUGUUUUUAUCUCAUCGACAACAUUUGAUUUGUGGGCAAGCACGGCUCUCGGCUUUCCGGCGAGAACUAGUCGCCUUUGGCUAGAUGCGUGCGCGAAAGUCGAAGAGGCCUUGGAAGAGAGCAGCGUGAAGCAGCUUCUGAGAAAACGUAGCGCCUCCGAUACAGGCAUUCAUGCCAUAAAAAGGCAAGCUGACUCGAAAGGAGCACUCCUCUCCUUGUGGUGCAGCGCUUGCUCAAUGCUAUGUGCAUCACUUACAAGUCCUCUCCUUUCGAUGGAAACGUGCCAAGAACACUUCACUCAGGCUGUUGGGCGCUCUAUAAGCUUUCGAAAGGAUAUCGAAUCGAAAACAAGCAGUGUAAUGUAUGGGAGGGGAGCGCCGGGGUUCAACAUUCACGCGGCCGGAGAACCAGAGCUAUGCAGCUGUCUUGUCUUUCAUUCAUUUUUCCGUCAGCUGGAAACGCUCUUCCAUAGGGCGAUCGACUCGAAAGUGAAAAUGAAUGUCUCGGCACACAUUUCGUUUGCUGUGUUUAUAGGAUGCCUAAAUGCCUUUACCUACUAUCGCUACUCUGCAAACAAGGCGGGAUCCGUGUGCAGGCUCCUCGACACCGUAGCACACGUGGCAGAUGGGAAAAGCCUGACCCAUCAAUUUGAUCUGAAGAGUGUCGAAGUGCGGCAACUGUCGAGGUACGUGCAACGGGCUUCUGUUCUUAGCAGUGACGAGGUUUUCAGCGGGAUCUCGCAUCGCCGUGCACGAAAAGAGUCAUGGGCCUCCUCUGCGUCCAUCCUGCCGCGUUUUUCUGAGAUGAAUUAUAGUACAAUACGCAUGACUGACAUUUACCCGUUUUCAAUGGUGGCAGCGAUGGGCCCUGAGUUGGACGAUAUUGGUGGAUGUAGCGUCUCCACGGAUGUGAGAGUGCAUCCCGAGGAUGAAGACGACGAGAACUUCGUAGAGAUGACAACCAUUUAUCUCGAUGAAAGCGGAGAUGAGAGAUGCACACAAUACAUUCUUUCUGCGGAAGAGGCAGCUUCCAAGAGGCAAGUCCAAGAAAAGCUUUACGGAGGAAAGCAAGGCCAAAAAAGCUAACGUGAUUUUUCUGCUGUGCGUUUAGGUUACGUUAAGAACCUCGUUUAUGCUUGUUCAUCUUUUCAUUUUUUUUUCCUUGACCCCUUGCUGCUGAGUACGCAUGACACGAGCAAAU